CCCUUAGAUGUUCUGGGCCGCACGCGCGCUACACUGUUUGAUUCAGCGAGUCUUAACCUUGACCGAAAGGUUUGGGUAAUCUUCUAAAGUCAAACGUGAUGGGGAUCGAUCAUUGCAAUUAUUGAUCGUGAACGAGGAAUUCCUAGUAAAUGCAAGUCAUCAGCUUGCGUUGAUUACGUCCCUGCCCUUUGUACACACCGCCCGUCGCUACUACCGAGUGAAUGGUUUAGUGAGAUCUCCGGAUUGGCUCUGUAGGUCCCGCAAGGGAUUUAUUAGUAGCCAAGAAGCUGCUCAAACUUGAUCAUUUAGAGGAAGUAAAAGUCGUAACA
This 329-nucleotide ribosomal RNA is filed under the name uncultured eukaryote. RNAcentral describes it as "partial 18S ribosomal RNA". It matches the Rfam family "Eukaryotic small subunit ribosomal RNA", at positions 1470 to 1796 of the family's 1831-position model. The record is from RNAcentral.